This 253-nucleotide ribosomal RNA is filed under the name uncultured bacterium. RNAcentral describes it as "partial 16S ribosomal RNA". It matches the Rfam family "Bacterial small subunit ribosomal RNA", at positions 524 to 776 of the family's 1533-position model. The record is from RNAcentral.
UACAGAGGGUGCAAGCGUUAAUCGGAAUUACUGGGCGUAAAGCGUGCGUAGGCGGUUAUGUAAGUCAGAUGUGAAAGCCCCGGGCUCAACCUGGGAAUUGCAUUUGAGACUGUGUAGCUAGGGUGCGGAAGAGGGAAGCGGAAUUUCCGGUGUAGCGGUGAAAUGCGUAGAUAUCGGAAGGAACACCAGUGGCGAAAGCGGCUUCCUGGUCCAGCACCGACGUUCAGGCACGAAAGCGUGGGGAGCAAACAGG